This 1500-nucleotide long non-coding RNA is filed under the name Citrus sinensis (sweet orange). RNAcentral's name for it is "long non-coding RNA (CSIN_LNC004471)". Lineage: Eukaryota; Viridiplantae; Streptophyta; Magnoliopsida; Sapindales; Rutaceae. The record is from RNAcentral.
UUGCCAUUUAAGAAUACGACCAUCAGCGACGCCAGUGUAGGGGCCGUCUCCAUUGGGAUCGAAAGCAAUGCUCUCAGGACCCAGAGCACCAGUGACUUGGAUGAUCUUGCUACCUUCCAGAUUAUUAUUGGAUCCUUCUAUGCACGGCGCACAGAAGAGGUUUCUCAGAGUAGUAUUUGUUUGGUUGAUUGAUAUAAUUACAGAGACUAUUGCUAUUACUAUUGCCGCAGAUGCUACGAUCUUUUUGUUUCUGUUCAUGGCUGCUUGUGGGCUGUUUCUUCUUAUCUUUACUUGUUAAAGGACAAGAGCUUCGAUUAUGAGGGCGUAUCUCCUCCUCUGGCUCCUAAUAAAUAAAUUUAAAUUGCUUAGAAAUCGGAAGAAUGUCUUUUCCAUAAUCAUUAUUAUUAUUAUUUUCCACGACGACAAUUUAUUUUGCACGAUAGCUCAACAGAUGUUACCGCACCAAUCGAAUGACAGUACAGCGCCAAUAUUCUUUUUAUUAUUAUUAGAAAAAAAAAUAUCGAUCCCUUUAAAAUUUAAAUAAAUGAUUAUAUAGUUCAUGCGUUCAAUAAUACAUAAGACUGAUAGUAAGAACCCUUAGGACAAAGAUAGAUAUAACCUAAAAUUAUCAAAUUAGAGUAAUGCCAAUUCUAAGCCAUUACUUGUGAGUUUUAAUAGCUAAAGAUCCUUUGCAGAUUAGUAGAUUGUAAUAAGUCCAGAACAUGGACCCAGAAAUGAGGCAAGGCCGCUUGGCUAAAGAUUGGUUUGUGUAUAACUUACAAUAGUAUAGUUUUUAAGUUGACAGAAAGCAAUACGAAAACAAGAAUCAUUCUCUGCUAACUUUUUCCCUAGCCAAAAGCAGGCAUCCACAACUACAAGAAAUCAAGAAUCAUUAAGUAAACAGAUUAGGUAACUUGUAGUUUCUUACUAACUUCUAUUAAUUCUCUUACAUCUUAGAAACUACCCAGCAACUUUAAUUACCUCACGCUAUAAUUAACAAAAAUAAAAAAAAUAAAAAAUUCUUAGCUAAAUAUCUAAAGUAGGCAAUCGCAUCAGCAAGUUUAAUGGCGCAAAAGAAAUUAAUAUAUAUGUAUAUUUGGAAACUAGAAUGAGUCAUUAAUUGAAGAGAUGAUAUAUGUAGAUACCGUUGAGAAGUGGUGACAGCAAAUUCAGUCCAACCAAGUUCAUCACCUUGCCAUUUAAGAAUACGACCAUUAGCGACGCCAGUGUAGGGGCCGUCUCCAUUGGGAUCGAAAGCAAUGCUCUCAGGACCCAGAGCUCCAGUGACUUGGAUGAUCCUGCUACCUUCCAGAUUAUUAUUGGAUCCUUCUAUGCACGGCGCACAGAAGAGGUUUCUCAGAGUAGUAUUUGUUUGGUUGAUUGAUAUAAUUACAGAGACUAUUGCUAUUACUAUUGCCGCAGAUGCUACGAUCUUUUUGUUUCUGUUCAUGGCUGCUUGUGGGCUGUUUCUUCUUAUCUUUACUUGUUAAAGGACAAGAG